Molecule: ribosomal RNA, 253 nt
Filed under: uncultured bacterium
Lineage: Bacteria
Description: partial 16S ribosomal RNA
Rfam family: Bacterial small subunit ribosomal RNA
Source: RNAcentral
UACGAGAGGCCCAAACGUUAUUCGGAAUUACUGGGCUUAAAGAGUUCGUAGGCGGCGCGGAAAGUGGGGUGUGAAAGCCCUCGGCUCAACCGAGGAAUUGCGCUCCAAACUACCGUGCUUGAGGAAGCUAGAGGUGAGCAGAACUGAUGGUGGAGCGGUGAAAUGCGUUGAUAUCAUUAGGAACUCCGGUGGCGAAGGCGGCUCGCUGGAUCUUUUCUGACGCUGAGGCGCGAAAGCUAGGGGAGCAAACGGG